RNAcentral lists this ribosomal RNA (110 nucleotides) under Planctomycetaceae bacterium. Lineage: Bacteria; Pseudomonadati; Planctomycetota; Planctomycetia; Planctomycetales; Planctomycetaceae. The record is from RNAcentral.
UCCGGUGACUAUACUCGGCAGGAAACACGCGUUCCCAUUCCGAACACGACCGUUAAGCUGCCGGGGCCGAUGAUAGUGCCCACCAGUGCGAAAGUAGGUUAUCGCCGGGA